UACGCCGAAGAAAGUGGAAAGGUCACAGCAGAAAACGGCAUCCGAAUCCGCCAACAGCAAAAGUUAAUAACAUAGGAAAAGCACAGACGGUUCUUAAGAUAAAGGAACAGGAAGGCAAAGCGCAGGUACUGGACAAAUACUGCAGAAACAGCUGGGGAACGAGCUGAACCAAGAGAUGUUGGAUCUGACCUUAAAUAUUCUUAGUGCCAAUCCGGCCAUCGUCCCAGUUGAAUCUUCGAUCGGUGUGCAUCGAAAAGUUCUGCCAUUCUACGAGCUUGAGGGAGCAACCGUCUCGGUCUGGUCAGUUCAUCGGGACUGUUUGAAAAGAUUCUGAUUUCCCUCCCGGCCUUAAGGUAACAGAAAUGUGAAUCGAUACGGAAAGUCAUGGAAAUUUCAAGUUGAGCCAUAUAAGGUUUGAGUUUCUGCCGAAAAAAAAAUAUUUAAAAUACAAUAUUUCGGUACCACGAUUGU
This is a long non-coding RNA of Uranotaenia lowii, 471 nucleotides long. RefSeq lists it as uncharacterized. NCBI's taxonomy places the organism in Eukaryota, Metazoa, Arthropoda, Insecta, Diptera, Culicidae. The transcript has 3 exons. The record is from RefSeq and is a predicted model, not a curated record.